CCCUUAGAUGUUCUGGGCCGCACGCGCGCUACACUGAUGCAUUCAACGAGUCUAAAACCUGGUCUGAUAGGGCUGGGUAAUCUUUUGAAUGUGCAUCGUGAUUGGGAUAGAUGAUUGCAAUUCUUCAUCUUCAACGAGGAAUGCCUAGUAAACGCAAGUCAUCAGCUUGCAUUGAUUACGUCCCUGCCCUUUGUACACACCGCCCGUCGCUCCUACCGAUUGGGUGUGCUGGUGAAAUGUUCGGAUCGGCCGUUUGUCGCGGUUUCCGCGUCAUGUGGCUGAGAAGUUCAUUAAACCCUCCCACCUAGAGGAAGGAGAAGUCGUAACA
This 328-nucleotide ribosomal RNA is filed under the name uncultured eukaryote. RNAcentral describes it as "partial 18S ribosomal RNA". It matches the Rfam family "Eukaryotic small subunit ribosomal RNA", at positions 1470 to 1796 of the family's 1831-position model. The record is from RNAcentral.